This 253-nucleotide ribosomal RNA is filed under the name uncultured bacterium. Its description in RNAcentral is "partial 16S ribosomal RNA". It matches the Rfam family "Bacterial small subunit ribosomal RNA", at positions 524 to 776 of the family's 1533-position model. The record is from RNAcentral.
UACAGAGGGGGCAAGCGUUGUUCGGAAUUACUGGGCGUAAAGGGCGCGUAGGCGGCCUGCUAAGUCGAACGUGAAAUCCCCGGGCUCAACCCGGGAACUGCGUCCGAUACUGGUGGGCUUGAAUCCGGGAGAGGGAUGUGGAAUUCCAGGUGUAGCGGUGAAAUGCGCAGAUAUCAGGAGGAACACCAAUGGCGAAGGCAGCACUCUGGGACGGUACUGACGCUGAGACGCGAAAGCGUGGGGAGCAAACAGG